RNAcentral lists this ribosomal RNA (617 nucleotides) under bacterium fme09x22p164. RNAcentral describes it as "bacterial SSU rRNA". It matches the Rfam family "Bacterial small subunit ribosomal RNA", at positions 48 to 669 of the family's 1533-position model. The record is from RNAcentral.
GCUACACAUGCAGUCGAGGGGUAGCAGGGAGCUUGCUCCGCUGACGACCGGCGAACGGGUGCGUAACGCGUAUAGAAUCUACCUCUUACUAAGGGAUAGCCCAGAGAAAUUUGGAUUAAUAUCUUAUAGUAUGUUAACUUGGCAUCAAGAUGACAUUAAAGGUUACGGUAAGAGAUGACUAUGCGUCCUAUUAGCUAGAUGGUGUGGUAACGGCACACCAUGGCAACGAUAGGUAGGGGCCCUGAGAGGGGGAUCCCCCACACUGGUACUGAGACACGGACCAGACUCCUACGGGAGGCAGCAGUGAGGAAUAUUGGACAAUGGAGGCAACUCUGAUCCAGCCAUGCCGCGUGCAGGAAGACUGCCCUAUGGGUUGUAAACUGCUUUUAUACAGGAAGAAACACUCUCACGUGUGAGAGCUUGACGGUACUGUAAGAAUAAGGAUCGGCUAACUCCGUGCCAGCAGCCGCGGUAAUACGGAGGAUCCAAGCGUUAUCCGGAAUCAUUGGGUUUAAAGGGUCCGUAGGUGGAUAAUUAAGUCAGAGGUGAAAUCUGCAGCUCAACUGUAGAAUGCCUUUGAUACUGUGUCUGAGUAUAUGAGUAGUAGAUAUGUAGUG